AUACGGAGGGUGCAAGCGUUAAUCGGAAUUACUGGGCGUAAAGAGUACGUAGGUGGUUUAUUAAGUCAGAUGUGAAAGCCCCGGGCUUAACCUGGGAACUGCAUUUGAUACUGGCAAACUAGAGUAUGAUAGAGGCGGGUAGAAUUCCUAGUGUAGCGGUGAAAUGCGUAGAUAUUAGGAGGAAUACCAGUGGCGAAGGCGGCCCGCUGGACCAAUACUGACACUGAGGUACGAAAGCGUGGGUAGCGAACAGGAUUAGAAACCCCUGUAGUCC
RNAcentral lists this ribosomal RNA (274 nucleotides) under uncultured bacterium. Its description in RNAcentral is "partial 16S ribosomal RNA". It matches the Rfam family "Bacterial small subunit ribosomal RNA", at positions 523 to 796 of the family's 1533-position model. The record is from RNAcentral.